GGGAUUAGUGGCGAACGGGUGAGUAACACGUGAGUAACCUGCCCUUAACUCUGGGAUAAGCCUUGGAAACGGGGUCUAAUACUGGAUAUUGACUUUUCCUCGCAUGGGGAUUGGUUGAAAGAUUUAUUGGUUUUGGAUGGACUCGCGGCCUAUCAGCUUGUUGGUGAGGUAAUGGCUCACCAAGGCGACGACGGGUAGCCGGCCUGAGAGGGUGACCGGCCACACUGGGACUGAGACACGGCCCAGACUCCUACGGGAGGCAGCAGUGGGGAAUAUUGCACAAUGGGCGAAAGCCUGAUGCAGCGACGCCGCGUGAGGGAUGACGGCCUUCGGGUUGUAAACCUCUUUCAGUAGGGAACAAGGCCAGUGUUUAGCUGGUUGAGGGUACUUGCAGAAGAAGCGCCGGCUAACUACGUGCCAGCAGCCGCGGUAAUACGUAGGGCGCAAGCGUUAUCCGGAAUUAUUGGGCGUAAAGAGCUCGUAGGCGGUUUGUCGCGUCUGCCGUGAAAGUCCGGGGCUCAACCCCGGAUCUGCGGUGGGUACGGGCAGACUAGAGUGAUGUAGGGGAGACUGGAAUUCCUGGUGUAGCGGUGAAAUGCGCAGAUAUCAGGAGGAACACCGAUGGCGAAGGCAGGUCUCUGGGCAUUAACUGACGCUGAGGAGCGAAAGCAUGGGGAGCGAACAGGAUUAGAUACCCUGGUAGUCCAUGCCGUAAACGUUGGGCACUAGGUGUGGGGGACAUUCCACGUUUUCCGCGCCGUAGCUAACGCAUUAAGUGCCCCGCCUGGGGAGUACGGCCGCAAGGCUAAAACUCAAAGGAAUUGACGGGGGCCCGCACAAGCGGCGGAGCAUGCGGAUUAAUUCGAUGCAACGCGAAGAACCUUACCAAGGCUUGACAUGAACUGGAAAUACCUGGAAACAGGUGCCCCGCUUGCGGUCGGUUUACAGGUGGUGCAUGGUUGUCGUCAGCUCGUGUCGUGAGAUGUUUGGGUUAAGUCCCGCAACGAGCGCAACCCUCGUUCAUGUUGCAGCACGUAAUGGUGGGGACUC
Molecule: ribosomal RNA, 1050 nt
Filed under: bacterium
Lineage: Bacteria
Description: bacterial SSU rRNA
Rfam family: Bacterial small subunit ribosomal RNA
Source: RNAcentral